CUCAACCGCAAGGAGGGGGAUGCCUAAGGCAGGGCUAGUGACUGGGGUGAAGUCGUAACAAGGUAGCCGUACCGGAAGGUGUGGCUGGAUCACCUCCUUAAAGGGAGACCUAAUUCAGGUAGGAGACGAAAAAAAGUAGUCCCUACCAAGAAUCAAUCCCAAAAGGUCGGAGCGAGGCGAAAUUGGCUUUCAAACUAGGUUCUGGGUUCACACAAGACCUGAAUCAGGAACAAGGGCUAUUAGCUCAGGUGGUUAGAGCGCACCCCUGAUAAGGGUGAGGUCCCUGGUUCGAGUCCAGGAUGGCCCACCUGCACAGGUGGCAAAAACAAAGAAAAAAGGCUCCGAAUCAGCACCUUAUCUUACUUAUAUAGUAAGAGAGAAUGCUGGCUCUGAGUACAGAGUCCAGAGGAACCUUGAAAACUGCAUAGAGCUAGGUGAAAAGGCCAAAAAAGAAGACCGUUAGGUCAAGCUAAUAAGGGCUAACGGUG
This 488-nucleotide unclassified non-coding RNA is filed under the name uncultured Microcystis sp. RNAcentral describes it as "partial contains 16S ribosomal RNA, 16S-23S ribosomal RNA intergenic spacer, and 23S ribosomal RNA". The stretch from base 1 to 100 matches the Rfam family "Bacterial small subunit ribosomal RNA", at positions 1434 to 1533 of the family's 1533-position model. The record is from RNAcentral. Lineage: Bacteria; Bacillati; Cyanobacteriota; Cyanophyceae; Chroococcales; Microcystaceae.